GACGAACGCUGGCGGCGUGCUUAACACAUGCAAGUCGAACGGAAAGGCCCCCUUGUGGGGUACUCGAGUGGCGAACGGGUGAGUAACACGUGAGUAACCUACCCUUGACUUUGGGAUAACUUCAGGAAACUGGGGCUAAUACCGGAUAGGAGCUCCUGCUGCAUGGUGGGGGUUGGAAAGUUUCGGCGGUUGGGGCUGGACUCGCGGCUUAUCAGCUUGUUGGUGGGGUAGUGGCUCACCAAGGCUUUGACGGGUAGCCGGCCUGCGAGGGUGACCGGCCACAUUGGGACUGAGGUACGGCCCAGACUCCUACGGGAGGCAGCAGUGGGGAAUAUUGCACAAUGGGCGGAAGCCUGAUGCAGCAACGCCGCGUGCGGGAUGACGGCCUUCGGGUUGUAAACCGCUUUCGCCUGUGACGAAGCGUGAGUGACGGUAAUGGGUAAAGAAGCACCGGCUAACUACGUG
RNAcentral lists this ribosomal RNA (465 nucleotides) under uncultured bacterium. RNAcentral's name for it is "partial 16S ribosomal RNA". It matches the Rfam family "Bacterial small subunit ribosomal RNA", at positions 28 to 507 of the family's 1533-position model. The record is from RNAcentral.